This 495-nucleotide ribosomal RNA is filed under the name uncultured bacterium. RNAcentral describes it as "partial 16S ribosomal RNA". It matches the Rfam family "Bacterial small subunit ribosomal RNA", at positions 28 to 507 of the family's 1533-position model. The record is from RNAcentral.
GACGAACGCUGGCGGCGUGCCUAAUACAUGCAAGUAGAACGCUGAAGGAGGAGCUUGCUUCUCUGGAUGAGUUGCGAACGGGUGAGUAACGCGUAGGUAACCUGCCUGGUAGCGGGGGAUAACUAUUGGAAACGAUAGCUAAUACCGCAUAACAGUAGAUAUCGCAUGAUAUCUACUUGAAAGGUGCAAUUGCAUCACUACCAGAUGGACCUGCGUUGUAUUAGCUAGUUGGUGAGGUAACGGCUCACCAAGGCGACGAUACAUAGCCGACCUGAGGGGGUGAUCGGCCACACUGGGACUGAGACACGGCCCAGACUCCUACGGGAGGCAGCAGUAGGGAACCUUCGGCAAUGGACGGAAGUCUGACCGAGCAACGCCGCGUGAGUGAAGAAGGUUUUCGGAUCGUAAAGCUCUGUUGUAAGAGAAGAACGAGUGUGAGAGUGGAAAGUUCACACUGUGACGGUAUCUUACCAGAAAGGGACGGCUAACUACGUG